Molecule: unclassified non-coding RNA, 337 nt
Filed under: Hevea brasiliensis (rubber tree)
Lineage: Eukaryota; Viridiplantae; Streptophyta; Magnoliopsida; Malpighiales; Euphorbiaceae
Source: RNAcentral
GGAUGUGUGGCAUAUACACUGGACUCGUCCGCCAAUCUUUGCAGAAGAAGUAUCAUCUUAAGAACUCCCCAUGUGAUCCUUGCAUGACACAUUGUUGCCUGCACUGGUGCGCUCUAUGUCAAGAACACAGGGAGAUGAAGGGACGUCUGACCGAUAACUUUGCGGUGCCAAUGACUAUCGUGAACCCGCCACCGGUUCAAGAAAUGAAGUCGGAAAAUGAUGAUGAAGGCACAACUUCAUCUUCCAACAUGGGCAAUGGGCAGACCAAUUUGGAAAUGCAAGCUUUGUAGAUUCCAUCAUAGAUAAGAUAACCACCACAGCAUACAUUAGAUAGUAG